AGCAGCCGCGGUAAAUUCCAGCUCCAAUAGCGUAUAUUUAAGUUGUUGCAGUUAAAAGCCGUAGUUGAAUUUCGAUGCUCGGUCGCACGGUGCUCUUAACGGAUGUCACUGUGCGACUGCAUCUGCCUUACUAGCUCGGUGUGCGGGCAACCGUGCAUCGCGGCUAGUAACGAUUACUUGAAAAAUUAGAGUGUUUAAAGCAGGCUCGCGCUUGAAUAGAUUAGCAUGGAAUAAUGAAUAGGACUU
Molecule: ribosomal RNA, 246 nt
Filed under: uncultured Glomeromycotina
Lineage: Eukaryota; Fungi; Glomeromycota
Description: partial small subunit ribosomal RNA
Rfam family: Eukaryotic small subunit ribosomal RNA
Source: RNAcentral